GGCACAUAGCAAGUGUUCAAUAAACGCUGGUUCCAUCAAUGGCAGAACUCACACAUCCAGACACACGCCAAACAACAAACCGAGAAACGGAAGGUGAUCAGCAAAGGAAGACAUGCGUGCACACUUCCCCAUUCUAGAUUCAUUAUCAUGGAUCGAAUUGGUUCUCUUCUCUGGGGAACAUCCGGUUAUAAGGAACGGUGACACUGGACACUGCCUCCCAGUGAACCCCAACUGCUUUACGUACUUGGAUUGAGAACACGGAUUGAGAACAUGAAAUAAAAGAAGAAUCUGCUUUAUCAAAACAAUUCCGACGGUACCAGAAGAGCGGCCUGCAGCCCUUCUUUAUUCUGAGAGUUGGGAAGGAUUCCCAUGGCUCCCAUGGCAGAUGAGGUGCCCCAGACCGAACCAGGUCUGGGAGAGUUUUGUUAGAAUGAGAAGGAAGGUGGACUUGUUUUUUAAAAUUCAGCUGAUGUCAUGUUCACUUUGGGACAGCAUUUUGAAAAAUGGGAAGCUUACUUCCCUGAAAAAACCAGAAACUUCCCAGAAAGCCUGGUGUAUCCGGCCUUGUGUUGGAAACAAGCAAACACAGUCCACAGGCUGCAGAAACCUGCUUGUUAAGUGGCGAAAGGAAAAUGCCCUCAGCCAGACAGCCGAAACACAGGAAUGUCGGGCUGGCCGGAGAUCAGAUCCACAAUCGGAAGUGGAGAAGAGACCGAUAAGGCUAUGAAGAGAGCAGCGUCAGUCAGCAAAACUGGUUUCCGAGGCACCAGGGGGCCACCAGACCUCACCAAGGACUUUCUGCUGUAUGCACAAGCACUUGAGAACCAGUGUGGCUUGGAGUUCAACAACUAAGGAGCUCUGGAGACAGCUGGCCUAUGAAUGUGAACUGCUUCAAGAGGUCCUCACCGUGUUCCCUCCAAGGGUAGUAGGUGACUGCUGGGGUCCUGCCCUCCUAGAUCCAGGGUUCUGCAGACACCGCUGUCACACUUGUAAGUGGAGAGCUGAAUCCUCUGCCUGACACGUUUCCCUUGUCAAGUUGUCCCUGUCCCACCCCACCGACAUCGAUCGUCCUGGGAACUGCUUCUGAAGAAACCCUGCGCAGCACUU
This is a long non-coding RNA of Fukomys damarensis (Damara mole-rat), 1107 nucleotides long. RefSeq lists it as uncharacterized. The transcript has 5 exons. NCBI's taxonomy places the organism in Eukaryota, Metazoa, Chordata, Mammalia, Rodentia, Bathyergidae. The record is from RefSeq and is a predicted model, not a curated record.